Long non-coding RNA from Equus caballus (horse), 2001 nucleotides. The record is from Ensembl. Lineage: Eukaryota; Metazoa; Chordata; Mammalia; Perissodactyla; Equidae.
AUCUGGAUAGACUAGAAUUGGUAGAGGACUUGAAAAAAUAUCAGUGCUGAGUUGUUUGGAUAGUAAGAUUGAGGUACACUUUCUUUAAACAUUUUCUUUAUAUUUGUUAUAAUGCUCUCACAACGCUGGAAAAAUAGUAAGAAAUUAAAUAGAAAUAUGUGUUCAAUAGCGAACAUUGGGAUCUCCAAUCCAAGCUACUUUUAAAUAACUGCCCCCAAAAAUUCCAUUGAAAAAUAUAAUGAAGUCCUAAUUCUGGAGCAGGGAGAGGGAACAAGACUGACAAAAGGGAACUGAAGAAGGGUUAUAUGGUAAAUGUGUAUGAAGAGGCAGAAGAAGGAUUUGAAGGUGAUGAGAAUAGAGGUGCUGUUCACCAGAAACGGGACUUCUUCAAGACAAAGGCUUGCUUUAGCGGUAGUUGCAGCCUAUGUUGUAGUUUGAUGGGACUCCUCGCCUUUCACUGUUCAAACAAGUACAAUCCAGAGGUACGGUCACCGUACAAGUUCAUCGUUAUCCAUAGGAGUAAACUAAAUGUCUCUGCUUUGAAAUUUUGACUAGGAUACAUCUGCCAGCAAUUACCAUGGGUGUUUCUAAAGUGCACAUAGCCCACUGGCUCUCAAAACAUCGCUCUCAAACAAUAGUGUUGGAAAGACGCACUUUCUAAAACUUUCAAGCGAUCUAUAAUCUCCCAGACUACUUUCACAAUUAACUUUUCUUUUUUUUGGCCACUGACCAAAAGGCAGGAUAUUGUUGGUGAAUUUGUAACUUUUCCAUUUUAAAUAAAGCAACCCCUUAGCAGUGAUUUCACUUUUUUGUUUCGAUCUUUGACAUUGAGCUGCAAACUGUCAUCUUUAGUUACCCAGAAAAAGCAGCCAGCUUUAGAAAAAAAUGUUUGGUCCUGCAAUGUCUAAGUGGUUUGAUUUCCUCUUCUGAUGCAUUAGAAGAGGCAAGAACAACCUCCUGGAUGACUGGGGGAGAAAAUGCCCCUCAUUAGCAUGAUGGCCAAAACGAUCUUGUUCAUAAGCAAACAUAUUGUCUUACUCAGAAGAAAAUUUCAAAAACAAGAAAACCUAAAAUCCAAAAUCAAUUGCUCUAAACAAUGUCUCAGGUAUUGAUUUCCAUAGCAUAUCUGGAAACACUACCUAAAGAUUAGGAACUGUCUGUGUAGUCCAUAGAUUGGAUAUUAUAUAACAUUUAUCUUAGGCAAUGAUGCUAUUGGAAGUAUGCUAGCUGGAUGUCACAGGCAGAUUCAUAAUUUAGUUGUUCUCACAAACCCAUUUCCCCUGGCUGAUUUUGCUCCAGCUGGCACAUCACAAAAUGUGUAACCCAAGCCUGCUUAGCAUCAUCAUUUGGCCAGCCCACUAAAGGCAUCAUGGAGAAAAUAAUACUACAUUAAGUGGUAAAUCCCCAAAUUUAAGUCUGACAAUAAAGCUUGUGUUUUUCCCUUAGAUGAGAGGAAGCAUUUUAUUAUGGAAAUAAGAGAGACUUUGGAGGCAAACCUCUGCAAACCCCAAUUUCCUGUGAAAUUUAUGUAAUAAUUCCUACCUCAUAACAUUGCUUUAAUAAUGAAAUGAAAUGCAAUGCCUUACUUACAUUAAAAUUUCAAUAAAAGUUUGUCAGCCCUGUGACUUUGGAUAAGUUACUUAACUGCUCUAAGACUCAAUUUUCUCAUCUUAAAAUGGAUAGCAUGCUACUUACUUCAGAGGGUUGUAUGAGGAUUAAAUGACUCAGUAAGAGAUAAACUCUUAGAAUAGUACCUGCUAAUAGUAAGUACUCAAUAAAUGUAGUUGUUACUCUCGUUGUUGAUUGUCUGUUUGCUAGUAGGAUAUUCCAGAUAAAGAGAACAACAGGAGCUCAGAAGGACUUAAGACUAACCAAAACCAGUUACAGAGACAAGAAAUAUCAUUGGGGAGAGGAGAACAAGAAUCUGUUUAUUCAACAACAUUUUGUGCUGGCUUUGUUUUUGAUGCUGGGGAUUCAGUGGUGAUAAAAUAAAACUAUGCC